CUAAUACAUGCAAGUCGAGCGGACAGAUGGGAGCUUGCUCCCUGAUGUUAGCGGCGGACGGGUGAGUAACACGUGGGUAACCUGCCUGUAAGACUGGGAUAACUCCGGGAAACCGGGGCUAAUACCGGAUGCUUGUUUGAACCGCAUGGUUCARACAUAAAAGGUGGCUUCGGCUACCACUUACAGAUGGACCCGCGGCGCAUUAGCUAGCCCGUGAGGUAACGGCUCACCAAGGCGACGAUGAAAAGCCGACCUGAGAGGGUGAUCGGCCACACUGGGACUGAGACACGGCCCAGACUCCUACGGGAGGGAGCGUAGGGAAUCUUCCGCAAUGGACGAAAGUCUGACGGAGCAACGCCGCGUGAGUGAUGAAGGUUUUCGGAUCGUAAAGCUCUGUUGUUAGGGAAGAACAAGUGCCGUUCAAAUAGGGCGGCACCUUGACGGUACCUAACCAGAAAGUCACGGCUAACUACGUGCCAGCAGCAACGGUAAUACGUAGGUGGCAAGCGUUGUCCGGAAUUAUUGGGCGUAAAGGGCUUCGCAGGCGGUUUCUUACCCCUGAUGUGAAAGCCCCCGGCUCAACCGGGGAGGGUCAUUGGAAACUGGGGAACUUGAGUGCAGAAGAGGAGAGUGGAAUUCCACGUGUAGCGGUGAAAUGCGUAGAGAUGUGGAGGAACACCAGUGGCGAAGGCGACUCUCUGGUCUGUAACUGACGCUGAGGAGCGAAAGCGUGGGGAGCGAACAGGAUUAGAUACCCUGGUAGUCCACGCCGUAAACAAUGAGUGCUAAGUGUUAGGGGGUUUCCGCCCCUUAGUGCUGCAGCUAACGCAUUAAGCACUCCGCCUGGGGAGUACGGUCGCAAGACUGAAACUCAAAGGAAUUGACGGGGGCCCGCACAAGCGGUGGAGCAUGUGGUUUAAUUUGAAGCAACGCGAAGAAGCUUACCAGGUCUUGACAUCCUCUGACAAUCCUAGAGAUAGGACGUCCCCUUCGGGGGCAGAGUGACAGGUGAUGCAUGGUUGUCGUCAGCUCGUGUCGUGAGAUGUUGGGUUAAGUCCCGCAACGAGCGCAACCCUUGAUCUU
Molecule: ribosomal RNA, 1083 nt
Filed under: Bacillus amyloliquefaciens
Lineage: Bacteria; Bacillati; Bacillota; Bacilli; Caryophanales; Bacillaceae
Description: bacterial SSU rRNA
Source: RNAcentral